GUUAUUUAUUUUAAAAGCUUUGUAAAACAUUACAGCACAGUCAGUAAAUGGGCUCCCAUCAACAGUAGCCCUCACAUACGCUGCACUUCUGCAACAAAAUGUAUGGCAGUAGAACAACUCCAGACUGAAAGAAGCAAGGAGACCAGUCGAGAAAUCAGACCCGCGCUGUCCUUGAAAGCUGCCUUCCUGCAGAGCCAAGUUCCACAAUUUAUCACACCUGCUCCAGCUAAUCAACAUCUCCCCAGGUUCCAGAUUGGCUGGGUCAGAUCUAUUAGAGUUCAGUGAGGGGUGAGGCAUCUUAUUGGAUACAGGUUGGACCUAAACUCUGCAGAGAGGUACCUCUCCAAGAGCAUGGUUUGAGACCACUGAUGGAGACCUUCACAGUAUUCAAAUCUCAUAAGUACAAAUGUUUUAGCCAAGCAAAUGCGUGUAAAAAGCCCACCACCCUGUCUUAAAAACAUCGGCACCCUCCAGCGGAGCUAAAGUCGAGAUCAUUCGGACUGGACUCCUAUCUUCUGGACCGCGUUCCCUCCUGAAAUCUGCUUCAGUGAUUUUACGUCAGAGAGAUUGAAUGAGUUUUAAAUGUGUUUGUGUGAUUAAAGCGCUUUACUAACAAACA
Molecule: long non-coding RNA, 619 nt
Organism: Pygocentrus nattereri (red-bellied piranha)
Lineage: Eukaryota; Metazoa; Chordata; Actinopteri; Characiformes; Serrasalmidae
Exons: 4
Source: RefSeq, a predicted model, not a curated record